GCCUCCGUCUGGAGCGUGCGCUAUUUCUGAUCCUUGUCUGAUUUUUCUUUCAGAGAGAAGGCGUGCCGUGAAGACCAAGGAAACCAAACGGGAGGAACCCAGGAGAAAGGCAGCCAAAGAAGAGAAGGAGGGAAAGAGGGACAAGGAGCCAUCUAAGAAGAAGGUGUCCCCUGAUGAGAAGAAAGGAGCUCAGAAAAAACUAGAAGACAAGCCGAAAGAAGCAAAAAUUAAGGCUGAAGAAAAGGCUGUAAAGAAAAAGCAGAAAGAGGGCAGGACUGCAACUGUCAAAGCAGUGAAGGAACAACCUGUAAAAGAGAAGACCAAAGAACCGGAAGACAAGAAGAAAGCUCAUGCAGAAACACCAAAGAAGAAAGGAACUGAAGUUCCAAAGAAAUCACACAAAGCUCCCAAAAAAAGUGAUGCAGAAAAACCAAAAGAAAAAGGUAAGGACUUUUACUGAGGUCAGUAAUUGCCUGUCUAUCUAUCUAUCUAUCUAUCUAUCUAUCUAUCUAUCUAUCUAUCUAUCUAUCUAUCUAUCGACAAGUUGUUAGACCACCAAUAUCCAGGAGAAAUAAAAAUAAUAGAAUUUUUUUUUUUCUAGUUCCA
RNAcentral lists this long non-coding RNA (606 nucleotides) under Scleropages formosus (Asian bonytongue). Its description in RNAcentral is "lncRNA (ENSSFOG00015028841.1)". Lineage: Eukaryota; Metazoa; Chordata; Actinopteri; Osteoglossiformes; Osteoglossidae. The record is from RNAcentral.